AUUGAACGCUGGCGGCAUGCCUUACACAUGCAAGUCGAACGGCAGCACGGGAGCAAUCCUGGUGGCGAGUGGCGAACGGGUGAGUAAAGUAUCGGAACGUGCCCAGUCGUGGGGGAUAACGUAGCGAAAGUUACGCUAAUACCGCAUACGAUCUAUGGAUGAAAGCGGGGGAUCGCAAGACCUCGCGCGAUUGGAGCGGCCGAUAUCAGAUUAGGUAGUUGGUGGGGUAAAGGCUCACCAAGCCGACGAUCUGUAGCUGGUCUGAGAGGACGACCUGCCACACUGGGACUGAGACACGGCCCAGACUCCUACGGGAGGCAGCAGUGGGGAAUUUUGGACAAUGGGCGAAAGCCUGAUCCAGCCAUGCCGCGUGCAGGAUGAAGGCCUUCGGGUUGUAAACUGCGUUUGUACGGAACGAAAAGGUUUGGGCUAAUAAGCUGAGCUCAUGACGGUACCGUAAGGAUAAGCACCGGCUAACUACGUGCCAGCAGCCGCCGUAA
This 500-nucleotide ribosomal RNA is filed under the name uncultured bacterium. Its description in RNAcentral is "partial 16S ribosomal RNA". It matches the Rfam family "Bacterial small subunit ribosomal RNA", at positions 30 to 523 of the family's 1533-position model. The record is from RNAcentral.